CGGACGGGUGAGUAACACGUGAGCAACCUGCCUUCGAGAGGGGAAUAACGGCUGGAAACGGUCGCUAAUACCGCAUAAUGUACGGAUGGGACAUCCUGUCUGUACCAAAGAUUUAUCGCUCGAAGAUGGGCUCGCGUCCGAUUAGGUAGUUGGUGAGGUAACGGCCCACCAAGCCGACGAUCGGUAGCCGGACUGAGAGGUUGAACGGCCACAUUGGGACUGAGACACGGCCCAGACUCCUACGGGAGGCAGCAG
Molecule: ribosomal RNA, 255 nt
Filed under: uncultured bacterium
Lineage: Bacteria
Description: partial 16S ribosomal RNA
Rfam family: Bacterial small subunit ribosomal RNA
Source: RNAcentral